GGGGCAAAGGACCAUUUCAUGAAAGAGGUUCCUUAAGACUAUCAGUGGAGGCCCCAAGGACGCGCUACACACGCGAAAUCGUCUUUCACUUCGAAGAUUUAGUUGUUUCAUUUGGAGGCGCAGCGGGACUCUUCCUUGGAGCAAGUUUCAUAAGUUUCGUGGAAAUUAUAUACUUUGCUAUGGAGAAAUUAUUCAAGGUUUUCUCGACCGAAGAGAAGAUAAAACCAGUGAUAAAACAGAAACGACCGUACGAGGAACGAAUAGAAGAAAUAGGAAUCAUGCUAAAAUCCCUUAAUUCACGGCAAAUACCAUAGGAAAAGUAACUACGAACGCGACGUGAAUAUUUUAUUUGCUUUACGCAACCAAUGAUUAGAUUAUAAUUAAUGGAUUAGUUGAAUAAGUUCAA
Long non-coding RNA from Pieris napi, 406 nucleotides. RefSeq lists it as uncharacterized. The transcript has 3 exons. Lineage: Eukaryota; Metazoa; Arthropoda; Insecta; Lepidoptera; Pieridae. The record is from RefSeq and is a predicted model, not a curated record.